Molecule: unclassified non-coding RNA, 219 nt
Filed under: fungal sp.
Lineage: Eukaryota; Fungi
Description: partial internal transcribed spacer region
Rfam family: Eukaryotic small subunit ribosomal RNA (bases 1-46)
Source: RNAcentral
AAGUCGUAACAAGGUUUCCGUAGGUGAACCUGCGGAAGGAUCAUCAACAAAAGGGAAAAAUGCGUGGCGGGCGCAAGUCCGUUUCACGUUUAUUCCCGAAAAUCCUGUAUUCACCCCAAGUUCCUUAAAAAUUUUAAUAAAAACUAUGCAAAAGACCACCUGAUCAGGUGGCAUCUAAUGCAAAAGCGAAAACUUUCAACAACGGAUCUCUUGGCUCUC